MicroRNA precursor from Pan troglodytes (chimpanzee), 93 nucleotides. It matches the Rfam family "mir-544 microRNA precursor family". The record is from Rfam. Lineage: Eukaryota; Metazoa; Chordata; Mammalia; Primates; Hominidae.
AUCACCUGGGGAUCUUGUUAAAAUGCAGAUUCUAAUUCAUUAUUUCUGGGGCUUGAGAAUCUGCAUUUCUAACAAGUUCCCAGGUAAUGCUGU